Molecule: microRNA precursor, 68 nt
Organism: Gorilla gorilla gorilla (western lowland gorilla)
Lineage: Eukaryota; Metazoa; Chordata; Mammalia; Primates; Hominidae
Source: Ensembl
GACUCGGCUGCGGUGGACAAGUCCGGCUCCAGAACCUGGAUACCGCUCAGCCGGCCGCGGCAGGGGUC